Molecule: ribosomal RNA, 481 nt
Filed under: Cronobacter sakazakii
Lineage: Bacteria; Pseudomonadati; Pseudomonadota; Gammaproteobacteria; Enterobacterales; Enterobacteriaceae
Also listed under: 1 other name
Description: partial 16S ribosomal RNA
Rfam family: Bacterial small subunit ribosomal RNA
Source: RNAcentral
GGGGGGAAACGGCCCUAAACAUGUCAAGUCGAACGGGGGCACAGAUAGCUUGCUCUCGGGUGACGAGUGGCGGACGGCUGACUAAAGAAUGGGAAACUGCCUGAUGGAGGGGGAUAACUACUGUUAAACGGUAGCUAAUACCGCAUAACGUCGCAAGACCAAAGAGGGGGACCUUCGGGCCUCUUGCCAUCAGAUGUGCCCAGAUGGGAUUAGCUAGUAGGUGGGGUAACGGCUCACCUAGGCGACGAUCCCUAGCUGGUCUGAGAGGAUGACCAGCCACACUGGAACUGAACACGGUCCAAACUCCUACGGGAGGCAGCAGUGGGGAAUAUUGCACAAUGGGCGCAAGCCUGAUGCACCAUGCCGCGUGUAUGAAAAAGGGCCUUCGGGUUGUAAAGUACUUUCACCGGGGGAGGAAGGGUGUUGGUGUUUAAUAACCACAAGCAAUUGACGUUCCCCGCAAAAAAAAACCCCCGGUUAA